AAAUACCAAAUAGUUCUCCAGUAAAUACCGAAGACUCUGGAGGGAGUUUAAUUUUUUCUACAACAUUAUACUGGUGAUGAAAUACACCAACCCCAACACAACUAUUUGUAGAAAGUUUUGAUGCAUCUGUGUAUAUGUGAUGCCAACCAGACCAAUUUUCGCCCACUAAGUUGUUAAAUACAGGUUUUGCACUUAUUAUAUGCUUAAUAAUAUUGGAGUCUAGAAUAACUUGUGGAGAGAUAGUCAAAGAGUCAAAGUCUUUCUCGUAUAUAGGAAGGGAAAUAUAUCUGACAGUAGGAGAAGACAGAGACUUAAAUUUAAGGUAGCUAUUAAUUAUACAAGGAGGAGUUCUAUUACGCCAAUAUGGAGAUGUCUGUAUGUGAUCAUAAAGAGUCAAUAAUUUUGUGAUCAGAGGAUGUGAUGAAAAUUGCAUAGUCCUAAAAAUGAAUCUGUCAGAUAAAAAUUGACGUCUUAAAUGCGUAGGUGGGUCAACACACUCCACUUGCAUAGCAUUAGCAGGACUGGUUCGCAUAGCACCAAGGAUUGUCCUAAGUGACUUAUUCUGUAUGACAUUGAAUGCUUUAAAGGCUUCUUCUGUACCCGGUGUUAAAAGAAAAGAACCGUAAUCAACAACGCUUCUUAUAACUGAAUUAUAAAUAAGCUUCAAAUAGAAAGGAUGACUACCCCACCAUACACCAGCUAAGCAUCUCAAUAUGUUUAAUGAGCGUUCGCAUCUACCUUUAACAUAAUUGGAAUGACCCUUGGUGGACAAAUUGUAGUCUAAAACAAUUCCUAAGUAUUUAACUUCUUCGCAAAAGGAGAUUGCAGAUCCACCAUAAGAUAAAUUUUCAUGAACAGUUUUUUUUCUUGGAGAAAAUAGAAUCGCCGAGGUUUUCGGAACUGAAAGGUCUAACCCAUUAUUAUUUAAAAAUACAUUUAGUUCCUUUAAACUAGCAUUUAUAUGCUCGCAGGCCUUCUGUACUGAUCUAUUUCUAGAGUAAAGAACUAUGUCAUCGGCGUAUUGUAUAAUAGAUAUAUAAUCUGGCAAAUUAGAACUAAGGUCGUAUGUAUAUACAUUAAAAAGUAAGGGGCUUAACACAGAGCCCUGUGGUAGUCCUUUCCAAACUGUCCUGUAUAAUACUUUAUCAUCUAAAUCUAACUUGAUCGACCGUUCAUAAAACAUAGCAGCAAUAAUAUUGCAUAAGCGUUCAGGCACUCCCAAGAGGAACAAUUUAUUUACAAGAAUUGAUAUAUUUACAUUAUCGUAGGCAGAAUUGAUAUCUAUAAAACAAGCUACUACAUAUUCGCGUUUUGAAAAGGCUAAAAGAAUAUCAGAAACUAAUAAACUAACACAGUCUAAUGUGCUUCUACUUUUGCGAAAACCAUAUUGAAUAUCAGGUAAUAAUUUCUUACUUUCAAUAAACCACUCCAACCUAUUUUUAACUAAAUGUUCUAAAAUCUUAAUUAAAACGGAAGAUAACGCAAUUGGACGAUAAGAGUUUGGAUCAUUACGGGGUUUAUUCGGUUUGAGAAAGGGUAACACUAACUGUAUUUUCCAAUUUGGUGGAAUGUCGCCUGUCAAAAAUAUUGAGUUGAUAAUAUUAAGAAAGUAACCUAAAAUAUUGUCACUAGAAUGGGUCAAAAAGGAAUAUGGAAUACCGUCGCAUCCUGGUGCAGAAUCCUUCACAUAAGAUAGCACAUUCUUUAGUUCCGACAAUGAGAACGGACUGUUAAAACGCUGCAAGUUAUCGUUAUCAGUAUUAGACGAGGGAGACUGUUCCAGACACACGGGAAAUGGGGCAAAUGGAGGAGCUAGUCUAUCUAAAAAAAAUUCAGCUACUGCAUGAUCAAGUUUGAUGCCACUAUUUUCUACAAAAGCUCCUCUAAACAUUCUAACUUUCCUCCAAACUUCUGACGGCUUCUGAACAUUCGGAAUCCCACCAUGGGGGACUGGGAAUGUUAAAUUUAGAGGGCUUCUUACGUGGAAAUACUUCAUCAGCUACAUUAAUUAUAAAUUUAGCAAAAGCAUCAGAAGAUUUGAACAAAUGUUGCCGAGAUACAUUGGGCAAUUCUCCCAACCUCUCAUCCAUAUGUUUGCGAAACUUAUCCCAAUCUGCAUUUUGAAGUUUAUAUGCCAACAGUGGAGAUCUUUUAAGUAAUGGUUUGUUUUUGAAAGGAAAAGAUAUGACAAUUGGAAAAUGAUCACUACCAUAGGAGAGUGGAAGUACCUCCCACAGUAAAGAGUGUGCAAUGGAAGAGCUACAAAUGGAUAAAUCUAAGGCACUAGGAUUCUCAUUGGGAGCAGACCGACGAGUAGGAACACCAGUAUUCAAUAUGCAUAAAUUAUAAUAAUCA
Molecule: long non-coding RNA, 2355 nt
Organism: Cydia pomonella (codling moth)
Lineage: Eukaryota; Metazoa; Arthropoda; Insecta; Lepidoptera; Tortricidae
Exons: 2
Source: RefSeq, a predicted model, not a curated record